CCUACGGGAGGCAGCAGUGGGGAAUAUUGCACAAUGGGGGAAACCCUGAUGCAGCCAUGCCGCGUGUAUGAAGAAGGCCUUAUGGUUGUAAAGCACUUUAAGCGAGGAGGAGGCUACUGAGACUAAUACUCUUGGAUAGUGGACGUUACUCGCAGAAUAAGCACCGGCUAACUACGUGCCAGCAGCCGCGGUAAUAAU
This 198-nucleotide ribosomal RNA is filed under the name Acinetobacter sp. 18(27-11). RNAcentral's name for it is "partial 16S ribosomal RNA". It matches the Rfam family "Bacterial small subunit ribosomal RNA", at positions 338 to 526 of the family's 1533-position model. The record is from RNAcentral. Lineage: Bacteria; Pseudomonadati; Pseudomonadota; Gammaproteobacteria; Moraxellales; Moraxellaceae.